RNAcentral lists this small RNA (108 nucleotides) under Marmota monax (woodchuck). Lineage: Eukaryota; Metazoa; Chordata; Mammalia; Rodentia; Sciuridae. The record is from RNAcentral.
GCCUGGUGUGGUGGUGCAUGCCUGUAAUCCCAGAGACUCAGGAGGCUGAGGCAGGAGGAUCACAAGUUCAAAGCCAGCUUCAGCAACUUAGUAAGACUCUUGUCUCAA